ACUGAUCCGUAAAACGCUUGGGAUGUUUCGGAAGACAUCUCGCUGCCUUUCGAGUCGAGCUUGUUGCGAGAGGAAAACCCAGCAGCCGGGGGACGUGCACGAGUUGCGUUUUUGCUAUGAGCGCUGCGCGAUCGUCAUCGACGAGCAUGGUGAGUCCGGCAGCGCCGGCGGACCCCUGUGCUAGGCUCAGGGAGGAGGCGCUGCGCUGCUUCGGGGAAGCCAAGCGCCAGCCUGGGGCACACGAUACCUGUCGCGAAAAGAAAGAGUGCUAUCGACGCUGUCGUGACCUUUGGCUGGCCGAAAUACGCAAGGCACGACGUGGAGAGCGACUUCCGAACCCGGCGGUGACGGGCCAAACGCCGGACACCAGCUAAACCUCGCUCUGGGUGGUAAUCGUCCGCAACCUGUGCGGCCGACUGGGAUGAUUUCCACGUUGAAAGCACCUUUGGACUUUGUUGGCUUUUUGGGGAGUCUUCGCAGAUCAGAGCUGUUGUCGUCGAGGUUACCCGCGGCCGCCUGCUCGCUGGUCGGCACUCGAGUCUGGGGCAGCCUGGUGCAGGCGACGUGCUGCGUUCGCUACAAGCAGCGCGUUCUGCGGUAUCCGGAACUUUGUUAUUCCAAGACCUCUUUUGGAGCGCAAGGCGCCACAAGCGGUAACGAGCAUCCAGUAGCAAGCAAGCAAGCUGGCAGAGACGCGCCCCCGAUAAAGUGCACGUGUGCAAGUAUGCCUGCAGCGCUGCCGUCGACAACGGACUUGUCUCUGUGCAGCCAGUGCAUGAUACCGAUAUGCGUCCGUUCACGCUUCGUCUGCAUCAGGCCAGCAACUGGUCUGAUGAUAUUCUCCAGGCAGCGAUUGAGAUGAACCUGUCGUGGGGCUGUCUGUUUAUGGAAGCGCGCCAUGUAGGUAUACCUUGUCAAGAGUUGGUCGUGGGAACAAGGACGCCUCUCCAUUCCGUCGUUUUGCGUCUCGUGUAGUACUCGAAUCCGAUAUCCACCGGUGCAUCCAAGGCGCUACGUUCAAUGCCGUGGAGCGUGACCUCGAGACACUGCCGGGUUCCCGCUUCGUGCGUGCCCUUCCUGAGACUGUUUCGCACCGCGUUUCAACAUGUAUUCGGAAAGGACGCGUCUUUAGCGCUGCUCCUCGGUUCCAUCCAUCACAGUCUGGUCGUGAACAGACGCGUCGAACGUGCGCAGCAGAAACGGGAACCCCGAAAACGUCUCGUUACGAGGCCGUCUCCGCUGGCCCACAGGCCGUAUGAUCGCGCAUUGCACUACGACCAAGUCAAGCUAAAAGCAUGUCGUUUACCAUUCGAGGUCUGUGCGACCGCGCGCUCCAACACGUUAGGUUUUUUAGAGAACAUCACUUCCACCACGGAUUCUCACCAGUUCGAAAGUCGGUCUCCUUCCAGGGUUUGAUCUCUACGAACCCGUCAUCAUCCACUUCGGUAUGUGCCAGAGCGAGCGACAGCGGAGCCGGACCGCGCACCACCUUCCCUGUACGAUCGUACUGCGAACCAUGGCACGGGCAAAUGAACUUGUUCUGUGCUGCGUUCCAAGGCACCACGCAGCCAAGGUGCGUGCAAACAGCAUUCAGUGCGUAGGUUUCGAGCUCGCCGGCGUCGUUCACAACAAGAUACGUGGGCUCCCCGUUUAGGCCCUGCACAAGGUCACGAGAGCCGGGGGGAUGCGUCUUCAGAUAAUCCUCCUUCUUGAUAGGCGUCCCGAGGGCGUCCUUUGCAAUCACACCGCCUGAGCCUUUGUUCUUCAGUGGCGGCACGAAGAAGCUGGCGUACGUGCCAAGCAUGAUGCUUGCUGGGAGUCCAACUGAACCCACUAGAAUGAGGUUCAGCAGCGUGCGCUUCCCCAUAUCUGGGAUGUAGUCGUCAUCGGAUCCCGAGGAGCCGCCACCGCUGCCGCUCCCUCCACGCGCGUCAUCAACUGUACUCGGCCGCGCAAACGUCAUGCGCAGCGCCACGCGCUUCCUGCCCAGCGUUGUAGGCUGGCGUUCGACUGCACCAGGAUGACACCGAGACACCGUUCUAAACGUAAUGC
Molecule: unclassified non-coding RNA, 2052 nt
Filed under: Cyanidioschyzon merolae strain 10D
Lineage: Eukaryota; Rhodophyta; Bangiophyceae; Cyanidiales; Cyanidiaceae
Description: hypothetical transcript
Source: RNAcentral